AAACUGAAGAGUUUGAUCCUGGCUCAGAUUGAACGCUGGCGGUAUGCUUAACACAUGCAAGUCGAACGGUAACAGGAGAGAGCUUGCUCUCUCGCUGACGAGUGGCGGACGGGUGAGUAACGCGUAGGAAUCUGCCUGGUAGUGGGGGACAACCCGGGGAAACUCGGGCUAAUACCGCAUACGCCCUACGGGGGAAAGCGGGGGAUCUUCGGACCUCGCGCUAUCAGAUGAGCCUGCGUUGGAUUAGCUUGUUGGUGAGGUAACGGCUCACCAAGGCGACGAUCCAUAGCUGGUCUGAGAGGACGAUCAGCCACACUGGGACUGAGACACGGCCCAGACUCCUACGGGAGGCAGCAGUG
This 359-nucleotide ribosomal RNA is filed under the name Sedimenticola sp. Its description in RNAcentral is "bacterial SSU rRNA". It matches the Rfam family "Bacterial small subunit ribosomal RNA", at positions 1 to 356 of the family's 1533-position model. Lineage: Bacteria; Pseudomonadati; Pseudomonadota; Gammaproteobacteria; Chromatiales; Sedimenticolaceae. The record is from RNAcentral.